AGGGUUUGAUUAUGGCUCAGGAUGAACGCUGGCGGCGUGCUUAACACAUGCAAGUCGAGCGAGAAAAGUUCUUCGGAGCUUUUCUAGCGGCGGACGGGUGAGUAACACGUGGGCAACCUGCCUCAUAGAGGGGAAUAGCCUUCCGAAAGGAAGAUUAAUACCGCAUAACAUUGUUGAAAGGCAUCUUUUAACAAUCAAAGGAGCAAUCCGCUAUGAGAUGGGCCCGCGGCGCAUUAGCUAGUUGGUGAGGUAACGGCUCACCAAGGCGACGAUGCGUAGCCGACCUGAGAGGGUGAUCGGCCACAUUGGAACUGAGACACGGUCCAG
RNAcentral lists this ribosomal RNA (327 nucleotides) under uncultured bacterium. Its description in RNAcentral is "bacterial SSU rRNA". It matches the Rfam family "Bacterial small subunit ribosomal RNA", at positions 8 to 334 of the family's 1533-position model. The record is from RNAcentral.